RNAcentral lists this ribosomal RNA (301 nucleotides) under Gasteracantha kuhlii (black-and-white shiny spider). Its description in RNAcentral is "partial 12S ribosomal RNA". Lineage: Eukaryota; Metazoa; Arthropoda; Arachnida; Araneae; Araneidae. The record is from RNAcentral.
GGUGGCCAUUUUAUUUUAUUAGAGGAACCUGUCUUUUAAUCGAUACCCCACGAUAAUUCUUACUUUUUGUUAUAUCUUAUAUACCUCCAUCCAAAGGACUAAUAUUAAACAUUUUACCCUAAAGAAAUUUUUAAUAAGUUAGGUAAAGGUGUAGAACAUAAAAAAGUUAAGAUGGGUUACUAUAAAUUUAAUUUAAGGAUAAUUUAUGAAAAUCAAUAUUGAAAAAGGAUUUAUAAGUAUUUGUAAAAUAAUAUUUUCCAUUGAAAAAGUUAAAAAUGUGCACACAUCGCCCGUCGCUCUU